GUAGUGGUGGUUCAGUGGUAGAAUUUUUACCUUCCAUCAGGGAGACCUGAGUUUGAGUCUCAGCCAAUUCA
RNAcentral lists this transfer RNA (71 nucleotides) under Loxodonta africana (African savanna elephant). It matches the Rfam family "tRNA". Rfam says of the family: Transfer RNA (tRNA) molecules are approximately 80 nucleotides in length. Their secondary structure includes four short double-helical elements and three loops (D, anti-codon, and T loops). Further hydrogen bonds mediate the characteristic L-shaped molecular structure. tRNAs have two regions of fundamental functional importance: the anti-codon, which is responsible for specific mRNA codon recognition, and the 3' end, to which the tRNAs corresponding amino acid is attached (by aminoacyl-tRNA synthetases). tRNAs cope with the degeneracy of the genetic code in two manners: having more than one tRNA (with a specific anti-codon) for a particular amino acid; and 'wobble' base-pairing, i.e. permitting non-standard base-pairing at the 3rd anti-codon position. Lineage: Eukaryota; Metazoa; Chordata; Mammalia; Proboscidea; Elephantidae. The record is from Rfam by way of RNAcentral.